UAAUACGUAGGAUCCAAGCGUUAUCCGGAAUUACUGGGCGUAAAGCGUGAGCAGGUGGUUUAUUAGGUCAGAUGCGAAAUCUUACGGCUCAACCGUAUAGACUGUGUCUGAAACCAGUAGACUAGAGGUCGGUAGAGGCAAGCGGAAUUUGUAGUGUAGCAGUGAAAUGCGUAGAUAUUACAAGGAACACCAAUGGCGAAGGCAGCUUGCUGGGCCGCACCUGACACUCAGUCACGAAAGCGUGGGGAGCGAACAGGAUUAGAUACCCUGGUAGUCCACGCCGUAAACGAUGGAUGCUAUUGGUAUGGGGUCUCGACCCUUUGUGCCAAGAAGCUAACGCGAUAAGCAUCCCGCCUGGGGAGUACGAACGCAAGUUUA
Molecule: ribosomal RNA, 378 nt
Filed under: uncultured bacterium
Lineage: Bacteria
Description: bacterial SSU rRNA
Rfam family: Bacterial small subunit ribosomal RNA
Source: RNAcentral